This 680-nucleotide ribosomal RNA is filed under the name Salmonella enterica subsp. enterica serovar Oranienburg. RNAcentral describes it as "bacterial SSU rRNA". It matches the Rfam family "Bacterial small subunit ribosomal RNA", at positions 865 to 1533 of the family's 1533-position model. The record is from RNAcentral. Lineage: Bacteria; Pseudomonadati; Pseudomonadota; Gammaproteobacteria; Enterobacterales; Enterobacteriaceae. RNAcentral also lists the same sequence under 1 other name.
UAGACCGCCUGGGGAGUACGGCCGCAAGGUUAAAACUCAAAUGAAUUGACGGGGGCCCGCACAAGCGGUGGAGCAUGUGGUUUAAUUCGAUGCAACGCGAAGAACCUUACCUGGUCUUGACAUCCACAGAACUUUCCAGAGAUGGAUUGGUGCCUUCGGGAACUGUGAGACAGGUGCUGCAUGGCUGUCGUCAGCUCGUGUUGUGAAAUGUUGGGUUAAGUCCCGCAACGAGCGCAACCCUUAUCCUUUGUUGCCAGCGAUUAGGUCGGGAACUCAAAGGAGACUGCCAGUGAUAAACUGGAGGAAGGUGGGGAUGACGUCAAGUCAUCAUGGCCCUUACGACCAGGGCUACACACGUGCUACAAUGGCGCAUACAAAGAGAAGCGACCUCGCGAGAGCAAGCGGACCUCAUAAAGUGCGUCGUAGUCCGGAUUGGAGUCUGCAACUCGACUCCAUGAAGUCGGAAUCGCUAGUAAUCGUGGAUCAGAAUGCCACGGUGAAUACGUUCCCGGGCCUUGUACACACCGCCCGUCACACCAUGGGAGUGGGUUGCAAAAGAAGUAGGUAGCUUAACCUUCGGGAGGGCGCUUACCACUUUGUGAUUCAUGACUGGGGUGAAGUCGUAACAAGGUAACCGUAGGGGAACCUGCGGUUGGAUCACCUCCUUACCUGAAAGAAGC